ACCAAUUCUGGAGGAUACUGUUCCUCACGGUAUAAUGGCUUGGAUGCUAGAUGGUAUUCAUUGAUGUGUGGUCAUAUCCUGAGUGUUGGUGUUCUUGGUUCCAUUCUAAUCCUGAAAACGCCACAUAAAUUU
Molecule: non-coding RNA, 132 nt
Organism: Oryza punctata
Lineage: Eukaryota; Viridiplantae; Streptophyta; Magnoliopsida; Poales; Poaceae
Source: Rfam